UGUUUAACGGCCGCGGUAUUCUGACCGUGCAAAGGUAGCGCAAUCAAUUGUCUUUUAAAUGAAGACCUGUAUGAAUGGCAUAACGAGGGCUAAACUGUCUCCUCCUUCCAGUCAAUGAAAUUGAUCUUCCCGUGCAGAAGCGGGAAUAAUAACAUAAGACGAGAAGACCCUAUGGAGCUUAAAACGCAAGAAUAGACCACAUCACUUACCCUGAGUUAACAGGCCAAGACAACUGAGUACUAUUCUAGUGUUUUUGGUUGGGGCGACCGCGGGGUAAAAUAAAACCCCCACGUAGAACGAAAAUACAUUUUUUUAAUUUAAGGGAAACAACCCUAAAAAACAGAAUCUCUGACUUUUUGAUCCGGUUUUACCGAUCAACGAACCGAGUUACCCUAGGGAUAACAGCGCAAUCCUCUUUUAGAGUCCAUAUCGACAAGAGGGUUUACGACCUCGAUGUUGGACCAGGACAUCCUAAUGGUGCAGCCGCUAUUAAGGGUUCGUUUGUUCAACGAUUAAAGUCCU
RNAcentral lists this ribosomal RNA (522 nucleotides) under Nimbapanchax melanopterygius. Its description in RNAcentral is "partial 16S ribosomal RNA". It matches the Rfam family "Bacterial large subunit ribosomal RNA", at positions 1921 to 2597 of the family's 2925-position model. The record is from RNAcentral. Lineage: Eukaryota; Metazoa; Chordata; Actinopteri; Cyprinodontiformes; Nothobranchiidae.